UGCCAGACUCCUACGGGAGGCAGCAGUGGGGGAUAUUGCACAAUGGGGGAAACCCUGAUGCAGCGACGCCGCGUGGGUGAAGAAGCGCCUCGGCGCGUAAAGCCCUGUCAGCAGGGAAGAAAAUGACGGUACCUGAAGAAGAAGCCCCGGCUAACUACGUGCCGGCAGCCGCGGUAAUACGUAGGGGGCAAGCGUUAUCCGGAUUUACUGGGUGUAAAGGGAGCGUAGACGGCAGCGCAAGUCUGAAGUGAAAUGCCGGGGCUUAACCCCGGAACUGCUUUGGAAACUGAGCAGCUAGAGUGCAGGAGAGGUAAGUGGAAUUCCUAGUGUAGCGGUGAAAUGCGUAGAUAUUAGGAGGAACACCAGUGGCGAAGGCGGCUUACUGGACUGUAACUGACGUUGAGGCUCGAAAGCGUGGGGAGCAAACAGGAUUAGAUACCCCCGUAAC
RNAcentral lists this ribosomal RNA (448 nucleotides) under uncultured bacterium. Its description in RNAcentral is "partial 16S ribosomal RNA". It matches the Rfam family "Bacterial small subunit ribosomal RNA", at positions 329 to 794 of the family's 1533-position model. The record is from RNAcentral.